UUAGAGCAUGAUGAACCCAGCCGUUAGCAGGAAGGCGGCACAACAACGUCAGCGGCGCACCUACAGAGUGAGAAGAGAUAUUUUCGCUGAGUACGACGAUGCUGAGUUACUGAAAAGAUUCAGAUUGGACCGUGCUGGUAUUGUUGCAGUGACUGAUAUAGUGAGAGACAAGCUGCAAAGUAAAACUGAAAGAAAUAGAGCCUUGACCCCUGAGAUGGUGGCCAUCACAUUACGAUAUUUAGCCACAGGAAAAAUGCAACAGUGCAGUUGUGAUGAUUUUGGAACAACGCAGCCCACUAUCAGCCGUGCAAUAUCACAGACAAUUGAUGCACUGGCUGACCCAGAAGUAAUCUGCCAGUUCGUGGCUUUCCCUCACACCCAGCGUGAAGUGCAGCAAAAACAGGCAGAGUUCAUGCAAGUAACUCAGUUUCCCGGUGUUGUGGGAGUGAUUGAUGGUACUCAUAUAAGAAUUGUGUCUCCUCAUGUCGAUGAACAUGUAUAUGUGAACAGGAAACGCUAUCACAGCAUAAAUGUGCAAGUAGUAUUUGAUGCUCACUAUAAGAUUCUUGACAUUGUGGCAAGGUGGCCUGGCUCAGUCAACGAUGCAAGAAUACUAGAUAAGUCAGCACUCAAACUGAUGUUUGAGGAACAACAUGUACCUGCAGGAUGCUACCUUCCCGGGGACAGUGGCUAUCCCUGUAAGCAGUGGCUCCUCACUCCUUACCUUCGCCCUCAAACUGUUGCACAAGCUAAUUAUAACAGUUCCAGUACCUUACGAUGCAGCCGAGGGGACUGACGCCACCACCACCACUGCCACCACCGCCACAACAAGGGUUAUUCAAAUGGGGAACAUGCUUCAGGUGUUGCCCCAAGAUGCCUCAGCCCCGCAGCCCCACUUCCCCAUGAUAGUGCAGGCAGGGAAUGUCAUACAGGUUGUUCCAGCUGACAACACGCAGGUAUUAGGGGCAGAAGUCGUUGGAGUUGGUCGGGUCAUGCAAGUGGUCGGAGUCCCAGGCUUUCCCCCGACCCCAGCCCCAGACCCCUGCCCCAGCCACCCCUCUCCCUGUGACCCCUGCCCAGUCAUCCCUCACCCCCUCCUGCCCCCCUGCGGUGCUGCCAGCGGGGGUGAUGGGAGGUGGAGGUGGGCCACACACACCUGGGUUAGCUGUGGCUUGGCUUAUCUCCCUCCUCAGCAGCAAAUCCCGAGGAUCAACGAGGACAUGGUGGACCCAGAGAUUGCAGCAGCAGCAAGAGAGAGAGAGAGAAGCAAGAGAGGAGGGAGAGGAAGGAGAGGAGGAGGAGAGAGAGGGAGGCCAGGAGGGAGGCACGUCAGAGAGAGAGGGAGAGGAAGAGGUUGAUUCUGUUACAACAACAACUGCAACAACAACAACAGUUAGUCAGUGAGGAGGGGGAGGGGCCGUCCUCUGAUGCUGAGGAUGAGGUAUUGUUCAGGGAGGCCAUGUCGGAGGUGCCGGUGGUGGGGUCGCCAGUUCCGGAGUACGAGGUGGAGGAGGAAAAGGAAGAGGAGGACGAGGAGGAGGCACGGAUAAGGAAGAAGAAAAGAUUAUUACCUGUAGCCCUCCCUCCAGCUGAUAAGGGGAUAUUAAGGAGCCCUUCCUACAGGUUCGUUCGAUGCAAGGAGUUGGCACAGGAGGCGUCCGAGGCUGUGUAGAGCGGCCGUCUGAACCUGGUGCCACAGCUUACUAUGUUCAACAGGUGCGUGUGUGUGUGUGUGUGUGUGUGUGUGUGUGUGUGUGUGUGUGUGUGUGUGUGUGUUUUGUGUGGUCAUUUCACUAUCUAUCUAUCUGUUUAGUUUGUCUCCAUCUGUCUGUCUUUCUGUCAUUGGUCUGUCUGUCUGUCUGUGUAUUGCAAUGAUUUUUCAGUUAUGUAUUUUAUUUUUUAUUCUUGUGUACUUGUGUCUGUCUGUAUGUAUGUAUGUAUCAGUCAGUGAGUCAGUCAGUCAGUCACUCAGUUAGUCAGUCAUUCAGUCAGUCAGUUAGUCAGUCAUUCAGUCAGUUAGUGAGUUAGUCAGUUAGUCAGUCUGUCAGUCACUCACACAGUGUUAAUCCUCCUCUUCCUCCUCCUCCUCCUCCUCCUCCUCCUCCUCCUCCUCCUCCUCCUCCUCCUCCUCCUCCUCCUCCUCCUCCUCGUCCACCUCCUCCUCCUCCUCCUCCUCCUCCUCCUCCUCCUCCUCCUCCUCCUCCUCCUCCUCCUCCUCCUCCUCCUCCUGUUCCCCACCACCCCUGCCAAGAGGUGAGUGUAUGUACGUGUGUGUGUGUGUGUGUGUGUGUGUGUGUGUGUGUGUAGUAAUAAUAGUAAUGCUAUGUACAUAUAUAAAUACUGUUAAUAUUAUUGAUAAAAAAUAUUGAUGAUGAUGAUGAUGAUGAUUCAGUGGUGAUUAUGAAAAUGUGCAUUACAAUAUAGGGUAGAUAUUAUUGUUAUUACCUGUGUGUGUGUGUGUGUGUGUGUGUGUGUGUGUGUGUGUGUGUGUGUGUGUGUGUGUGUGUGUGUGUAUGUGUGUGUGUGAGGAAUAAUUGAAUAAUUGAAUAAUUGAUGCUCUCUCCUUUGCUAUUCAUUAUAUACAUGGACAGAUGCCUGAAGGAAGUGUGUGUAAGGGAGGAUAAAGAGAUCAUGCUGGCCUAUGCAGACGAUGUCGCUGUCGUGACAGGAAGCCAACAAGAUCUUCAAGAGGCCAUGACAAGAUGGAAUGAUGUUUUAAAUAGGGAAGGAAUGAGAAUGAACAAACAAAAAACUUAUUUACUAGUGGACAAGCAACAAGUGAUGGUGUGGCUCUGAGCCACUGUAGUAGGGAUGUUAUGGUUUAAGUGUAGGAAGUUGCAAAUGCUCACCUAACAAUUGCACCUUAGUAGAAAAACACAAACAGGAAGUUUAUGCAAGUUUUUAUCCUUAUAUAAAAUGUUGUAUUGCAUCAAACCUCCAUACAUUACUGUCUCUAUCCAGUAUGAGACCGGUGUUCAGGAAGCACAAGCAUGUGCUGAAUAACAAGAAGCCGGCAUUGGUGAAGGUGACAACAUUUCAUCUAUUUAUACAUACUUUUUAUUAUUAAAGCUUAUCUUAUAAUUAUUUCUGAAGAGAUUGACUAAUUUUUGUAGUAUUUAUGACUUAGAACUACGAGUAUGAUAAAGCUAUGAAUUGAUAUAAUUCCUGAUUUGUUUUAUCUUUUCAUUAUCCUUCCUUUGUUAAUUGAGCAUUUUAUAUUACUUAGCUUAAAAAUGCAAGAACGGUUCAGAAGUAUCCAACCUUGGGCUAAGGGCCAAAAUUAUGGUAUCAUUCAAAAUGUCCUUCAAAGAAAGCCCUCUGUAAUCCAACACACUUAGCCCAUUAAUCCUUCCAUUUCUCAUCAAUUUGUUCAACAUUCAUAUUUUUCCCUUAUAGGGUUGAACAAUUUUCAUGGGUUCAGAGCAAAAGGCUUCCUCAUUCCUCCCCAAGGUAUUCUCGGAUGGUAAGCAGGUUUGACUCUGGAGCAAACCUGACCAAGGGCUACUGCCCAAGGCUACAGAGGUUCCUCUCCCUGAGGCUGAAUGCACCAUGUGAGAUGGUUCUGUUAUGUGGAUGAAUGUCAUGGUGGAUAGCAGUGCCACCACAUUCCUACAAUCAUCCAUCACUCCACUGCUCAAACGCUUCUGCAACCAAUGAUAGGUAUGCUGCCACAUUCUGCAUGGUCUCCUUGGCUCUCAGAUAAGGAUACUGUCAACAGGUUUGGGAUUGCCAAAAAAUCAUAAGGAGCUAUAUCUGAAAAGUCCAGAGAGAGAGAGAGAGAGAAAGAAUGAGCAAGAGAAAGAGUAGGAUGAAGCAAAGGAAGAGUCAAGAGGGAGGAAGAGAGAGUAGGACAAGAAAAAACAGAACAAAUAAAUCCCCUACACGUCUUGUCUCCAUUCACACAAGCCAUGAAAAGCUUGUCCAUCCCUGAGUGCUCAGAAGCAGUGUUCCACUGAUGAUGUGGAAACUUGAGACACCCAAUCAUUUAAUGGGCUUUAGUAGGUUUUGUCACCAGUCUUCUGUGUGUCACUGACUACAUUUUGAAAUUUUUAUCUGUUCUAUUUAAUUUUGUGUGUAUGUACACAAUGUUUAUGGUCAAUAAACUAUUUAUAAAACUAUUUAUCUGUGUGAGUAAGAUAAAAGCAGUUAUUGUUAUUAUUAUUAUUAUUAUUAUUAUUAUUAUUAUUAUUAUUACACAUUUUCCUCCUUGUAUUUAAAUAUUAUUAUUAUUAUUAUUAUUAUUAUUAUUAUUAUCAUGAAUUGUUCUUGUUUAUAAAUAAAAUACUGUAACUGA
This is a long non-coding RNA of Scylla paramamosain (green mud crab), 4294 nucleotides long. RefSeq lists it as uncharacterized. NCBI's taxonomy places the organism in Eukaryota, Metazoa, Arthropoda, Malacostraca, Decapoda, Portunidae. The record is from RefSeq and is a predicted model, not a curated record. The transcript is spliced from 6 exons.